GCCCAGCUUGGCCUCCCAAAGUGCUGGGAUUACAGGUGUGAGCCACCAUGCCCAGCCUGCUGGCACACAUUCUAAAGAGAGCCAACUGGCACAACCUGAGGACUUCUGAGAGGACCAGAGCACCAGUGGCCUCCCCAUCCACCUUCCCUCCCUUCUCCUCCAGGUUACCUAAGGGAACCCCAGAGGAAUUCAAGGAGGAUGGGGUGAUUCUGAAGCUACGGUCCAGCAUGGCAUGCUAUGGUCUUGAAGCCUAUGAAAUUCACUCUUCAACAAACUUGGCAUCUACGUUAAGCAUGUGAAUGUACAGAGUUAUCAAUCAACAAUAGCCUUUAAGAUUAUUGUAAUCCCCUAAGUACUUCGGCCCCAGGUAGCCACCCACUGCUGGAUGUCAGAGGACAUCACGGUGCUCUUUCCUGCCUGCACCCCUAGUCUGGAAUGCUUACCCCACAUCUCUGCUGAGUGAACUCCUUCCUAUUCAUGCUUCAAGACCCAGCUCAGUCCUGGCUCAGCUGACCCCUUGGUUCCUGUGUCUGUUCCCUGCUGGGCUGCAGGUAACCAAUUGAAAGAUAAGAUACCAUAGACAGACAUCAACUUUAUUCCUGACUAAAGCUCAAAAGAAGGGCGUGGCGUAGAUUUACAGUGACCAUCCUAACACUCACGCGCAGAGUCACACGGUCCCACACUGGGCUGGACCAGCCCUGCUAAGCCCACAAGAGGGAGAAGAGUGGAAAUCCCCUCAUCUCAAAGGCAACAUGAGAUUGGAGAAUGUACUCUCAAAUCCCCAAACAGCAACAGAAUUGUUCUGCUUGCUUCAGAGCAGAGGCUCCGCAGCCCUUUCCAGACCUCUCCCAAGCGUGGAAAUGGACGAAGGGCUGGAUGGGGCUCAGAGGGGAGGUCAGGCGGGACUCCCUCAGACAGCAGCUGGGGUUCCUCUGUUCCAGGCCCAGCUCUCACUGAAACAGGAGAGGGUGUGAAGGAAUGGAUUUGGAACUGUCAAGAACUCCUUCCUUAGUGGGCAGUGGAGGAGUGUCCACUGGCCUGCAGCCAGGCACCUCUCUCCCCCAGCCUGGGUCACUGGCAAGGGAGCAAGAAGAGUUCUGGGCUCACAGCAGGCAGUGGAGUGUAGUCACAGAGCCUGAUCCGGCUUGAAAUCCCAGAUCCUUUGCUUACUAGGCUGUGUGGCCUUAGGUGAGUUACUUAAUCUCUCCGUGCUUCAGUUUCUGCAUAUGUAAAACAGGGAUAAUAUCUAGCUCACUGGGUUAUGAUGAGACGUAAGUAACUUCAUACAAACCCCUUAGGACUGAUGCCUGGGCAUUUCUAAGUACUCAGUGAAGGCAAGCUGCUGUUUUUAUGGGCCCAGGUCUAGGAAAAAAGAAUCAAACAGCCAGGGGAAAGGGGAUGCUCUCCACUGUAUAUUAAGUUCUAUCAUAGGGACCAUUUUAGCUAAACACAGAAAAACAGAGGAGGGGGCUGGGUGUGGUGGCUCAUGCCUGUAAUCCCAGACCUUAGGAGGCUGGAUUGCUUGAGCCCAGGAGUUCGAGACCAGCCUGGGCAAUAAAGUGAGACCCCCAUCUACAAAAGA
This 1582-nucleotide long non-coding RNA is filed under the name Homo sapiens (human). RNAcentral's name for it is "HSALNT0007991". Lineage: Eukaryota; Metazoa; Chordata; Mammalia; Primates; Hominidae. The record is from RNAcentral.